RNAcentral lists this unclassified non-coding RNA (336 nucleotides) under soil metagenome. Its description in RNAcentral is "partial contains 5.8S ribosomal RNA, internal transcribed spacer 2, and large subunit ribosomal RNA". The stretch from base 1 to 120 matches the Rfam family "5.8S ribosomal RNA", at positions 35 to 154 of the family's 154-position model. The record is from RNAcentral.
GAUGAAGAACGCAGCGAAAUGCGAUAAGUAGUGUGAAUUGCAGAAUUCAGUGAAUCAUCGAAUCUUUGAACGCACAUUGCGCCCCUUGGUAUUCCAUGGGGCAUGCCUGUUCGAGCGUCAUUUGUACCUUCAAGCUCUGCUUGGUGUUGGGUGUUUGUCUCGCCUCUGCGUGUAGACUCGCCUUAAAACAAUUGGCAGCCGGCGUAUUGAUUUCGGAGCGCAGUACAUCUCGCGCUUUGCACUCAUAACGACGACGUCCAAAAGUACAUUUUUACACUCUUGACCUCGGAUCAGGUAGGGAUACCCGCUGAACUUAAGCAUAUCAUAAGCGGAGGA